GUGAUAUACUCUGUGAAGGACCAGGAGCCAUCAGGAUCCACUGCCUUCUUCUGAGACUGGGGUGAUCUUCAGCUACAUUUGUGUAAUUGAGGGUUUUACAGAUUUUAUAUAUAUAAAAAAAAAAUCCUGCCGAUGUUGAUGUAACAAUGAAGAGAAUCCGUUGUUUUAUGGUUUAAAAACAAACAAACAAAAAAAACCGUUUUAUUUUGAAAGCCGUGUUAUAACCGGAUUUCCUCACUUGACGCCGGCGCCUUGUCGCCUAGCAACAGCUGCUCGUGACAGUUUAGCUGUGACUGCUCCCUCUGACUGUGGAGUCGCAGGUGUGUCGGCACAGACACACUGCCGGCCGGUAAAACAAUACAGAAACACAGCGCUGUGUCUUGAGUAAUGACCUUGACUUUAUUAGACAUAUUCGUUUUCACUGACGAGUAGUUAAAGUGACGUGACACACCGCAAAGGGGACACCGGCCAGUGAACACCGGAGCGACCCGUUCAGAACAAUAUCUACCCUGUUUAGAUGCUAACAUCAAGCGGAAGGAACAAGAUGAUUGGAUGAUGAACCCGAGCCUCAACCAGCCCGCCCCUCACACAGUGCAAGCGGAGGGAACCUGCACUCAGCGGGACCUGCCACCCAAAACCACUGAAGUCUUCAAAAGUCAGAGAGAACAAACUGUGCUCCCCCACCACGCUGUUAUUGGAGCCAGACCCUUCUGCUCCCCUGAGUACAGCCCCGACUUCCACAAGUUAGGCUCAACAGUACCUUACAGCUCAUACAGACCUACAAAUAUCAGAGCAGACACCUUCACUCCUCUGCAGUCGUCUGCCAAGACACAUGUGCCAUACUCAGAGAAGAAGAGGCUCCUGGACAAACAAGAGGAGAUCCAGGAGGUGAAGCAGCUGGAGGAGUGGAAGCCCGCUGUAGGCAUCGUCACAGCACUGCUGGAGGAGUUAGAGAACAGAGCCAGCUAACAAGUUACACAAACACAAUAGUGUUGAUUGUACAUACACUCUUUAUCUUCAUCUGAACCGUGUAAGAAAUACACACACUGCUGAUGGAUAUAAAAGUAAUUUCCACAUUCCAGAAUAUUUUUUCUUACCAUGCCUUUUUCUUUAUUAGAUUGUGUAACUAAGGUGGAGGCUGCUGUUCAAUCUUUUGCUGUUCUUGUUUUUGUUUCAACUUCAUCCUUUCUAUAAUGAAAGUGUUCCAGGUACGUUUAUGUAGGUGAGAAGGAAAGCAGCAUCCUCCUGGAUAAGUAAUAAAACAUGCCCAGCUGCCUUUGUCAGCGACUAAGAUGACUCAUCAUCAGGCCUUCAUAUGCUCCAUGUUCUCCUCAGUGUAACCAAGAAGCACUCUGAUCUAAUGUGUGUGUAACAUGGACUUACCUUUAAGAAAGUAUUUCAGGAGAAUCUUUGGAGGCCUUUUUCCUUUCCUUUCUUCAGUCUAAUCAUCCUGGCACUGUCUCUGAUGACACAUGGGCAAAUCUAAUUGAUUUAACUUAUUGAGAAGUAUAUAUAUGUCAGUUAAUAUCCUUUUUUCAAACAUUCCUCUUCAUAUAAUUUUUGAAGUAUGUAGAGUAUGUAUUUCAUUGUCAGUUUCAUUUAUUGUAAUAGUGCGAUUGUGGCUUAUCGAGUCUUCAAUAUAGAUAUGAAAAGUGACAUUAAGAAAUAAAAUACGACAUUAUGCAAAAUAACGUUAGGGAAAUAAAAAUCUCUACAAUUAAUAACAAAUGUAAAUAAGGAGGAUGAAAAAACAUUGCCCUAAGAUAAGGCUGAACUUUGAUGAUUCCUUAAAUCAUAUAUCAAUUUAUUGGUAAAUGUACAUAUAUUCUAUACAUUCAUGUAUCUACAGGCACUAGACUCACACACACUACAAUUGGAAAGUUUAAGGAGAACGGCAUUGAUCUGAAAGAGCUCAUCAUUAAUUUGAACAAGUCACUUGGAGCCAUUUCAAAGCAGUCACAGGUCCCAAGAUUAGCUGUACAAACAACUGUUGUGUCACUGCCACAAUCCACCUGCUGCUGAGAGAAACUGGUCAGGAUGGUCAAGAGUCAACCAAAAUACAAGUCUGCAAUAGAUGAGGUCCACAGUCAGGUGUGUUUUACAUCGACAUGAGCUGAGAGGCUGCCGUGCAAGAACCUAAUUGAGGUGAAUAUGGCCGAGAGACAUUUAACCAAAUAACAAAAUGACUUUGUAAAUUUUUAAACCAGCAGAUUUGGUCAGAGUUUUAGAAGACCCAGAAAAAAAUCAUUACUGAACCAGACUUGAAUGUUUUUAUGACAAAGUAGUUUGUGUUCCAGUCAUCAAUCACAGAAACAUGAGAGCUGUAGAAAUCACUUGAUGAUACUCAUGUUCUUUACAUGUGUAUGGAAACCUUUGACCACGACUGUAUCAUCGGCUACAUAAUGUUACUCUUAAAAGACUGCUUGUGUACUUGGACAAAAUAUCUAAUUCUACCCCGGCUGUAAUCAUUUUUCAAUAUCAUUACAUUUAACUCAUUACUUUGAAAGUCAAUAAGGUCAGCUCAAUACAAUUCAGGUCCCUCUUUAAUAAUAAUGACUAUGUGAUCCCAGUGAUAAUUACUGUACAGUACUGCCACCCUAAGUGCUGUGCUGGUUGUUUCUGUGAUCUGGACCGAUCAAUGUUGUGAUAAUGAUUUAAUCAAUAAGGCCCGAGGUCCUCAAGCCAACCAAAUAAAACAGAAUUACUGUUCCUAUCUUGAAUUCUGUGCUGCUGCGCGUGCUCUUACCUCCCUGGAGUCAGCAGUUCAGCUGUAUCAGCUGCUGCUAUGCUAAAAUGUUCCCUGGCUUUUUAAAUGCUAUACGAGCUGACAGAUAAAAGGUGUAAAACUUGAACGCUUCACAGUUUGUAUCAGUGAAUGCUGAGCUCCUGCAACGUAUCCAGUCUUUUCUUUGCUUCAAAAGUGCAGGAGUUUUUAAUAUCAGUUACAGUUAAAUACAGUCUGUUCCUCCCGUACAUGACAUUUACAGGAAAGGAAACUAGGGCAAACUUUGUUUUUUGACAUUUGAUAGAAAGUCCAGCAAGAUAAAGAAUCAUUCUAAAACACUGCGGUAAAAAGCUGAAAGUCCAAAAGUCAAACUUCCCACUAUAAAAGCUGCUUUGUGGUGCGUGAAGCCAAACAUGUCUGACUUUCCGAGUGGAGAAUCACCCAGAGAAUCUUCGGUAAUGUCCUCACACAGCACAUGCACCGGAGUCUUCCACCAGCCAGCAGUUCAGCAGGCACUGUGUUCCAGCCAUAUGGCUUUGUCUGUGUCAGCUGCAAAACUAAUGAACACAACAACACUUUUCCCAUGCCAUUCUGAAGUACAUGGUGAUAUGCCUCUCUCUCAGUCUCUCCUGCUGUGACUGCAGCCUCUGGGCUGGAGCUGGUGUCUUCAGAUGUGCCCAACCUUCACCAGGUGGUUCAAUACUUCACUGCAUCUGCGGCUCUUCUCCUCCCUUCGAUUCUACAGUCAACAGGAGGCUCGUUCUGCUGCCUCCCUAAGCCUGCCUGCUGCUGACUCAGUCUCCUUUCAGAGUGCAUUCAAGUCAUGUUCUGAUGGAUUUGUUUUUGAUCUGGUUUAACCAAUUAUCUUUAGCACAGCAAAGGGGUAGUUGCACCUACUAAUGGUGUGAGGCCGACCAACGAGUGCGAGCCAUUCGGGGGCAGAGUUGGGAAGGUCUUGCCAAGAAACAUGAUCUCGGUGUGGUAGCCCUGCAACUCGGCUCAAAUGGAAGCAAGUUUAUUAAAGAUUCAGCCCAACUUGGCCCAUUGUCCCUUUCUUUCCGCAGAGCUUGUACAGUGGACCGUAAAGUAACAGAUGGAGAUAAGGUAUAUCAGUUGUACUUCAUAAAAGACCAGGAGAUGUUAAGUUUUGCCAAUUUAAUAGAAUUGGCUUAUUAUAAUUUAUACAGAAAAAGCAAUGAGUAUAUAAAAUAAGAAGUGUAUCAGCCAUAAGUAAUACAGAACUGUAUCAGAUGCAUUUUAUUGGCCUGAAUGUAUGAAACAGCACCAUCCCACAUUAAAACUAGAUCGCUCCUGAGUUCUAUCUGGGUCCAUGUAUCUAGUACCACUAUUUGACGAGUACUGUAAAACAGAAGAAGGGUUUGUGAUUUUAUUGUUCAAAUUCUAAAACUGUGCAUUAAACUUGUGCAACGAUAGGCUGCUUGGUCUGAAACAU
Sparus aurata (gilthead seabream) is the source of this 4178-nucleotide long non-coding RNA. Lineage: Eukaryota; Metazoa; Chordata; Actinopteri; Spariformes; Sparidae. The record is from Ensembl.